AACGCAUAUUGCACCUUCUAGCAUUCUGGAAGGUAUGCCUGUUCGAGCGUCAUUGCAACCUCAAGCACUGCUUGGUAUUGGGUGUCACCCUCCUGGUGCACCUCAAAAGUAGUAGCGGCAGCAUUCAGCCCCGAGUAGAGUAAUUUUCUUGCUUGCGAGGCUUGGAUGUAGGCUUGCUUAAAACACCCCAAAAGUUUGACCUCGGAUCAGGUAGGGAUACCCGCUGAACUUAA
RNAcentral lists this unclassified non-coding RNA (233 nucleotides) under uncultured fungus. RNAcentral describes it as "sequence contains ITS2". Lineage: Eukaryota; Fungi. The record is from RNAcentral.